This 1554-nucleotide long non-coding RNA is filed under the name Neogobius melanostomus (round goby). RNAcentral's name for it is "lncRNA (ENSNMLG00000007060.1)". The record is from RNAcentral. Lineage: Eukaryota; Metazoa; Chordata; Actinopteri; Gobiiformes; Gobiidae.
GCGCUCAUCUGUUUAAAGCUCGGUGGGCAAACGCCGACCCAGCGAACAGAAGAAGACAGAUCCAAUGACUGCUGCACGUUUCCUCUUGAAAAAAAACGAGCAUUUUUGCAAGCAAGUGCAACGAUUGUAAUAAUGCGCACGUUUCUUUGUAUAUAUAUAUAUAUCAGCGUUUAGCGUAGGGCUUUUCGCUGCGUAAAUGAAACCUAUAGUACCAUGUAAAAUAAUACUAUUAAGCUAAAAAGGAGGCGCGAAUGCACUGCCACGCUCUGCCUGUGGUGAUAAACGUGUCCCCAUGAGGUAUGUAUCGAUUCUUUUGUGGUCCCUUCGUUUUGUCUACCAAUGCGGUGUAUUUGUAUUGGUUUAUUUGCACAAUUUUGAAGCACUUGACAAAAAUACAGACUCUAAUCAGUCUGCUUGCUUUUCUUUUUCAGCUCUAGAAUGUCCGAUUUUUGAUCCAGACGCUUUGGUACCAUUUUUUCCAAGAGUGCGUGCCACCACACCAGCGCCGCUUUCUCUGCCUACAAACUCCACUGAUGCAAGACGAAAAGAGGGGCUCUUUACCUGCAAAGGCUCGAGUCAAAGUCUGCUGUACAUGUUUAUUCACAUUGUCUGACCGAUUUUUAAAAUAAAAUAGACACCUGGAUUGAUCUAGGCAAAUGGGUACGAUCUUAUUGGAUAAUUGCUACAUGGGUGAUUGUCUUUCAGCUUGCAACGCGGUAUUUAAACCCAAAUGAUCCAUGAGUGGUUCCUUGUUUCCAAAACAACCAUGUCGAAAGACUGUCCUAGUGGUCGUGGAAAAUAGUCUGUCUGAAAAGGGUCAAAUCAAUGGCUUGCAUCAUAGAGAACUAAAAUUGGCAAAAGAACUGCCCAACGCAUUAUUAAAAACUGGAGGGAGUGUGGGGGACCAUCGUCUUCACUUAAAUGUUUAACAAAAUCAAAUGGCAGAAAAACAAUUUUAAAACUAAGGGUUAUGUUUAAUGGUAAACACACUUUCACAAGCGCAAUGCAAAUGGAACUUGAGGGACUGGGACUAACAAGAGAACCAUUUCAGUGAGGCCAUCUGCAAAAAAAGGAGGCUUCAAGACUGGACUCGAGCAAUGGAGGAAGGCGAAAAGUCCACUCUAAUUUUGAUUCUGAUGUGGUCUGGUGAGUCCUGGUUUAUGCUGUCUAUAAUUGAAAUGAAGCGUCCAAUGACUCAUGGCCACAGGUGGAAGAGGGGCAGAUAUAUUAAAAUACAGGCUAUCGAGCGAGGAUGGUUGUAGAGAAGACCUUUGGCUUUCAAGGCCAAGAAUAUAAACCAGCGAUGUAUUAGCCUUCUACCUGAUAUUGUUCACAGGACCCACCCUCAUGACCUGUGUCAGAGUUUUCUUUUUUUCUAUCAUGUGUUUAAAUUCCUGGGGAAAAAAAGUGUUUAAAUUCAUAAGCGCCGAUUUAUGUUCUUCCAAGUGGGUGCCCAGUCCCAAAAAAAAAGUCGAGGCUAGGAUCGAUCCUUGCCUUGUGGAUGGGAGCCCUGCACUCUACCUGUGGAGCUAACAUAGUGGAACAAAGCUGGCG